Molecule: transfer RNA, 78 nt
Filed under: Acidobacteriota bacterium
Lineage: Bacteria; Pseudomonadati; Acidobacteriota
Also listed under: 1 other name
Description: Acidobacteria bacterium (bioreactor metagenome) tRNA-Arg
Rfam family: tRNA
About the family: Transfer RNA (tRNA) molecules are approximately 80 nucleotides in length. Their secondary structure includes four short double-helical elements and three loops (D, anti-codon, and T loops).
Source: RNAcentral
GCAUCGGUAGCUCAGCAGGAACAACAGAGCGCAGGCGUCCGAAGCCUGAGGCCGCGAGUUCGAAUCUCGCCCGAUGCA